CCACCGCAGACCGGAAUGAGAGCCUGGGAAUCACGAGCUCCAGGUCCGGAGGAGGCUCUCUGUCCUACGAUUUCUGAGUCAGCACCAUGACAAACAUAUGGUUGCUUACAGUGGACCCAGGAGCAAGGAAAUCCAAGCUUGCAAAGGGGGCAUCUGGUCCCCACCAAGAUUUGUACUUCAUUUUUUGUAGUGAUGCCUUCUACUCAUUUAACUUCAUAAGACCAACAGAUUUCCUACUGAUAACACAGAACACUUCUGAACUGGUGUGUGCACACACGGCACAUCCUCAAUAUACAGGAUCAGAGUUCAAAUCCAGGGUGUGUUCCACUGUUGAUCAAUUAAACCAGUAAAUGGUGUCUCAAAUAGAACAAUCUUUGGUGAUAUAGGUGCCAAGUAAAUAUAAUUGCCUGUGAUAGUUUUCCCAAAUGUUCCCAUCUAGAUUGCCUGAUAUUCUAUGUGUCCCUCAGAAACACUUUUUGGCUUGAGAGAGGGAAAUGAUUCUGAG
Molecule: long non-coding RNA, 505 nt
Filed under: Homo sapiens (human)
Lineage: Eukaryota; Metazoa; Chordata; Mammalia; Primates; Hominidae
Description: non-protein coding lnc-ITIH3-4:1
Source: RNAcentral